CGUAGAAACGUAUUAUGACCAUACACUCAAAAUAAAUGCGCAUAGCUCCUAAUCUCUAUAUUUCACUACCGAACUAAUUGAUUUAGAUCCGAUAUAGAAUUUGACAACGUUUCCGAAAGAGAGCCUAAGAGAGCUGGAAAGUACUUAACGUAAAAGCUUUGACUUGCGAGUAUUUCCUCAGGGGUCACCCCUUACCCCUUUCGCAUCCUUGUGAUCCUCUUCCAGUGGACUUUCCUGCUGAUCCCGCUUCUUUUCCGACCGCGAAGGUCAACUCUCCGCGCUGGUCGCCAGAAGGGACGGCGAGGAGGUGGUCAGACCCACUGGAACCGAUUCCUCCUGAGCCUGGCCCAUGGGCGGUGGUGAUGGAGUGGGCGUGGAGGCCGUGGACGACGCCGUCGAUGAGGUGGGACGGGCGGCGUGAGGCUGGAGGAAGUGAAACAAGUUGGAAUGCUGCAUGAAACUGCCCACCGAUCUCAGCGGACUAAAAAAGUUCUCUGUGGGAUGGUUGGCUGGCUGCGGAUGCUGUGGAAGUACAGAGGACUCCUGAUCCCUGCAGAGAUUACUGCUGGGCUCGUCGUGGACCCCUCGUCCCUUAGCGAUGGAGCUACAGUUGCAGGAUCGGCUCUUCUUCAGCGAACUCCGAGUGAAUGCCGUGCCCUUUCGAUACUUAGGCUUGUGCCCAUUUGAGCCGGGACUCGCCUCACUAUCGAUCACAAAGAUACCGGAUUGCUCCUGGGGAGCAGGACUCGCCGUGGAUCCUGGCAGGCAGUGAGCGCUAUUGGAGUUGCCAGCAAGCAGUUUGGCCCUCAGAAGAGCCGGAAGUGGGCCAUUUGUGGGAGAUGUUUGAGUGGAGAGCGGUCUCUCCCUGGACUGUUCAUCUAUGGGAAGAUCCUGAUUGUUGCCCAUUGGCCUGGAGUCCGUGUCAUCCGAUCGCAAUUUCUCCCUCAUGACCAAAGCCAGGGAGCGACGCAGUUCCACGGGAUCUAUGCCAGGCUGAACGGGAUUUGGAACAGAGCUGGCCGGCACGAAUACGUCCUCAAACUCCAGAUCAUCAUCAUCUUCGUCCUCAUCCUGGCUGAAACUGUAGUUGUGGUUGUCAUAGGAGGCGGACGGAACUGAGGGCUUCGCAGGAGCAGGAGGAGCUGGUGGGACUGUGGAACUGCUAUUUCGUUCACUGCUGCGCUGGGAACCCGGAGCGGGGGAAGGGAACUCGUAGCUGGUUUCACCCAGCUCGGCGCCACUGGAGGCCUCCACUAUGUUCCACAUUUCUCGCUCGAGAUCUGUGGUCACCGAAGCCACGGCGGCCACCGUUUGGUUGAUGUUGUUGAAACAGGGCGACACCACUCCGCACUUGGGCAGGAGCUGGGAGUUCUUCAGGGCCUCCUGCUGCUGCCUCAACCAAAUGGGUGAAUCUGCAGGGAAUGUUACGAGAGUUAUAGGGAUUUUGCCACAGUUCCAAGGAGACAACGCGCACUCACACUCACCCACAUAGAGGCGCGGCUGCGUGGAGCGCAUAUUGGAGUCCAUGGACUGCAGGCGAUGCUGACUGGCCACCGAGAAGCGGUGGAUUGCCUCCGCCUGCUGAUCAAUGUCCACGCCCAUCAUCUUCAGGAGUAAGUUCUUCAGCGCGGCCCUGAAGUCCUUGAGGUGAUAGGCAUACAGGACCGGAUUUACCGCCGAGUUCAGAUGGGACAGAAUGAUGCAGAAGAGCGUCAGCUUGGGAUGCACAUAGCAGUCGGGACAGAAGGCCUUGAUGCAGUUGAUCGUAUAGAGCGGUAUCCAGCAGAUCAUAAAGAACAGCACGAUAAUGGACAGAUUCUGGGUGGCCUUGACGUCCCGCUUCCUUGCGGCGCCCAAGACCCGCAGCAUGGUUCCCGUGUGUCCACCUCUUCCGGGUGUCGUCACCUGCACCACGGCCGCCGAGGAGCGACGACUGAGAUCGGAGGCGGGGUUCAUCGUAACAAUCUGACGGACCUUUAAAGUUCAAUUGAAAACGGAUAGUUAAUAUUCCAAACUCUAUGGAAUAUAUAAAAAACUUUACUGGCGAAAAUCUAUCUACCACUCACCUGUUUGAUGAUGACCCGGUAGAUGUGCGUGUAGAAGGCCAGCAUCAGCAGAGCCGGAGUGAUAAUGGUGGCAAAAUAGAGGAAGACGAGGUAGUUGUAGUCCAUCACCUCCACGAAGAGACACUCCUGGUUGUGAUUGACAUCGGCGUGCCAGCCGAAAAGCGGCAGGAAGCCCACUAUCGUCCCGGCCACCCAGCACAUGGAGAUGAUGACUGCAACGGAAGAGGAACAUUGGUAAUCAGAGUGCCCUGAACUGAAGCCCUUGAAGUGGAGCUCCCCCAGACGUCAUUUGAGCAGAUUGCAGGAAUCCCUGCCGUCUUCGCCACCAAGCACCAUAAAAACUUUUAUCGAAUUGCGGGAAACUAAACAAAACUGGCAGGCAGGGUGAGUGCACUUCCCAAAUGACGCAAAUAAUUACCAAUUUUCCGGACGUAGCAUAUUGGAAAGUAAUCUUGCCUUGAGCGGCCAUUUAUAAAGCACUAUAUAGUAGGUGAUAUAUAGUGCUUAG
Molecule: non-coding RNA, 2574 nt
Organism: Drosophila melanogaster (fruit fly)
Lineage: Eukaryota; Metazoa; Arthropoda; Insecta; Diptera; Drosophilidae
Source: Ensembl